UUUUGUGAGUUUUGAGUAAAAUCCAUUGGCUUAAACUAUGCAAUACACCAACCACUCCAUUUGAAAAUGAAUUUCGUACGAACCUUAGUUGUCCAAUUUCAAGGACCAAUCAAUGUCGGAUUGAGUCCAAAACUUCGGGAACAUCAUAAGGUUGUGGAAGGUGUCAUUUGGUGAGUUUUGAGUGAAAUCCAACGGCUAAAAUUAUGCAAUACCCCAAC
This 218-nucleotide long non-coding RNA is filed under the name Prunus persica (peach). RNAcentral's name for it is "long non-coding RNA (PPER_LNC008072)". The record is from RNAcentral. Lineage: Eukaryota; Viridiplantae; Streptophyta; Magnoliopsida; Rosales; Rosaceae.